GUGGGGAAUCUUAGACAAUGGGGGAAACCCUGAUCUAGCCAUGCCGCGUGAGCGAUGAAGGCCUUAGGGUUGUAAAGCUCUUUCAGCUGGGAAGAUAAUGACGGUACCAGCAGAAGAAGCCCCGGCUAACUCCGUGCCAGCAGCCGCGGUAAUACGGAGGGGGCUAGCGUUGUUCGGAAUUACUGGGCGUAAAGCGCGCGUAGGCGGAUUGGAAAGUUGGGGGUGAAAUCCCGGGGCUCAACCUCGGAACUGCCUUCAAAACUCCCAGUCUUGAGUUCGAGAGAGGUGAGUGGAAUUCCGAGUGUAGAGGUGAAAUUCGUAGAUAUUCGGAGGAACACCAGUGGCGAAGGCGGCUCACUGGCUCGAUACUGACGCUGAGGUGCGAAAGAGUGGGGAGCAAACAGGAUUAGAAACCCCAGUAGUCC
Molecule: ribosomal RNA, 425 nt
Filed under: uncultured bacterium
Lineage: Bacteria
Description: partial 16S ribosomal RNA
Rfam family: Bacterial small subunit ribosomal RNA
Source: RNAcentral